RNAcentral lists this long non-coding RNA (40590 nucleotides) under Lactuca sativa (garden lettuce). Its description in RNAcentral is "long non-coding RNA (LSAT_LNC001149)". Lineage: Eukaryota; Viridiplantae; Streptophyta; Magnoliopsida; Asterales; Asteraceae. The record is from RNAcentral.
UUCUUAAUUGGUUAUUAGAAAUUCGUAGAUUCUUUGAGAUUCAUUGAACUUUUCAAUGGCAUGUUUCAAUCUCGAGUGUGCCCUCCAAAUUUUGUGACUGGGAUACCGAGGAUCACAAAACGAGGUGUGAAGUAACCAUGCAAAUCACUUGGUACCCUUAAAGUUUAUCACUCAAUCGAUGUGUCGGUAAACCACACACGCUCCACCGAUACUAUGAUAAACCUUAAGUCACCUUUUACCUACCUUGUUAAGUCCAAGUUAGUGUGCUGGUUAACCACACACGCUCCACCAACGACUUAAACAAAGUGUAAAGUGUAAUUUCAUGGAUUAGCACCUUAUUCACAUUUUUCCUAAAGUAACUAAGAUUGGGAAUUUAAUAAAACAUUUAGUUACUUUAUAAUAUUCAUCAUACUUUGAAUGAGAAUUNAGUAACUAAGAUUGGGAAUUUAAUAAAACAUUUAGUUACUUUAUAAUAUUCAUUAUAGUUUUAAUGAGAAUUUAUAAGUCCUUGUCCUACCCGUUCGGCUAACGACCCUCCACCGAUCAAGGAAGCGGUGUGUGAGAGUGGACACCCAUUAAGUUGCCAUUUUAUAGGCAACAACCUUAUACCCCCCUUAUAGACCGGCUUCGUGAAUGAGGCGUACUAGCGGUAAGACAACUUGAUCUUAUACAUAUAUAUAUUAUUAACUUAUAAUAUUAUAAAGUAUAAGGGUUGAAUUUUAACUUUUAAAAUUCUAAGGGUUGGAACUAAAGUUUUAAUCAAGACUUUACUUGUUCCAAAACUUGAGGGCAAGUUUUGUAAGCUUUCAAAACUUUUCAUUUCUUAUAACUUAUGAAUUUAAUUGAGUAAUAAAAAUGAAGACUCUUCAUUUUUAUAACUGUAGUGUUCUUUUAAUGGCUUUAAUAAAAGUGUGACUUUUGGUUUUCCAUAACUUGAGGACAAGUUAUGGACUCCAUUAAAACACUUUAUGAUCAUGAAUUAAACUACCAUGAAGGUUACAAGCAAUUCCUAUGAUCAUCUAAUCUUCAUAAGUUCAAGAACAUGAAUAUGAACAUUUCAAGAAUCAAAAUUCCACUUAAAAACUUGUAAUUUUGAUAAUUGCCAUUGCAAAUGGAUUAGCAUAAACAUUACACCAUCAAAAACAAGUUUUCAAGUACCAAAACAGUUUAGGGUAAUGUUUCUAGUCCAUUUCCAGCAACAAAAGUCGAAUUUCUAAAAACUGCAGCCUCUACUCGUCGAGUGCAAGAACAAAGUCGACGAGUAUCUUGCAUUUGCACAUGGACUCAUCGAGUCCCCCCAUGGACUCGGUGAGUUCAUACGAGCAAAAAACAAAAAAACGAUUUUUUUUCAACAGUUUGCACAAAAAACAAACAAACAAGCCUAGGCUCUGAUACCACUGAUGGGUUUUGAGCAUUCUAACACUUCCUAAGUGUACAUGCAACCCUAAUAACCUUGGAUCUAUGUUUGUCUAACUAUCAUGCAAACUUGAAUUCCAAGGUUAUAUUCCUAUCUAGCAUACAUGGGGAACAAUUUUUAACUUGAAUGAAUGAUAAAAUAACAUACCUUGUUGUUGCUUAUGAUCCUUGAAACCUUGUGAGCCUAGCACCCCAAGCGUGAUGCCUCAAAUGCUUCACACAACACCAAAUGCUUUUAGAAUGACUUUAGAGAGAAUACACACUUCUAAAAUCGGCCUAGCCCUCUUGUUUCUUAUGUGUAGCCGAUUUUGGUGGAUAAUAUGUUCUUUAUAUAGUGUUGACACAUCUAGGGUUACACCAUGUAAACCCUAAUGUGUCAUGGCUUUUCAUUUCCAUGACCCAUGGGUUUGUAACUCCCAUGGAGCAUCCAUGGAGCAUCCUAUGGGUGGAACCCAACUUGAUAAUCCAUGGAGCUUCUUAGCCUACUAUACAAGUUAUGGAUGAUUUACAUAAUCAACCCAUAUAUUUAAUUAGUAAUCUUUUGAUCACUUAAUUAAUUCUAAAUUUAUUCUUGAUCAAACUAGUUAUAUAAUAUUAUUAAUGUAUUAGAACUUAUAAUAUAUUAAUAAACCACAAGUGUUAUUUCUCUCAUUUAGUCUAUCCAAUUGCUUGGUGCCAUGCAACCCAAAUGGAGCAUGCCGGGUCGGGUCAAGUACAUACCAGAAAUAGUUAUGGACUUAAACACCUUAUCCAACAGAUACUACCUUCCACGUCUAUCCGUACUUUCCUCAACAAUUUCCUUGACUCCACCAAGUUCCUUACUCUACUACUAUUGCUCCCAACACUACUCUUAUCCUAGGCUUACCCUAGGGAAUCCACUAAACCACCCCGUCCACAGCUGCUGAAGGACUUCCGACCAAUAUCAUCUAACUACCUCAUGAAUAUAGUCACAUGCAGCAGAGAUCAGAUAAUCCUUCGACUAAAGGACUCAUCCCUAGAACGGUUAGACUCAUACGAGAGCUGCACAAUAGGGUCAAGUCCAGCACUCUGAGAUUAUCCAGCCUGUGCCACAUGUGACUUAGCAUAUUCAAUUAAUAUUUAGCUCAUAUUGCUAAGAGUCCCACAAAGCACAAAGCAAGCAACAUUCGGAUAAUGGAAAGCUAACCAUCAAUCAAACUGUUCUAUUCUCUACUCAGGAAACUGUACAAGCAUGCAAUUCAUGGAGAUCAUUCACAUAAAACAGGCACAUAAGGCAUCUUCCUAGAUCCCUAGUCCUAAUCUAGCAUGCAUUUCUCAUAAGCAUAACAUAGCAUAACAUAAACUUGUAUAGGUAUUUUGGGGUACUUACUUAAGCUCGGCUGAUUGCAUGCACCACACCCUUUUCUCUUUUUCAAAAUUCAUUUCCCUUUUCAAGUUCUUUUUCUUUCCAAAACUUUUUUCUUUUUCUUAAGUUCUUUUUAUAAAAAUGAUUUUCAUUUUGAAAAUUUUCAUACCAAGUCCUCAGUUUGAGUUCAGACACACCCGAGAGCGUGCCCGAAUCCCUCAAACCAAGGCUCUGAUACCAACUUGUAACGCCCCAAAAACACGAUCUCGAAUAUUUCUUUUUAAUUAAUUCAUAAACCAUAAUAACAGAUCAAAUCGUUCAUAAACAAGAGUUGUUAUAUCGAAUUAGAGUAUCAUCACAAAACAUAUUUUUUUAUCAGAGUAAACAUCCACGCUAAAAAUCCUUUGGUGUGUGUGCCAUGCGAUCACCCUGAGCUCUUCCCUCCGCUAUCGGAAGUACCUGAAACCAAAACUGAAAAUCGUAAGCACGAAGCUUAGUGAGUUCCCCAACCUACCACAUAUUGGGCCCCCGCCCGCUGCAUCGGGACUUUCCCGGCAUCGGACUAGCUCCGACAUCAGGUCGCGCCCGACAUCAGGCCCCGCAUGGCAUCGAGGCCCACUCGGUAUGCAUAUAUGUUUCUCUUAGGUCCCACUUGUCUCUGGGCCUCGCCCGCUAAACGCAUAUAAACAUAUAACAUAACACAUAAAAAGUAGCUAAUAUACUCUACCGUACUCCUGAUCUAAGGCCUCGCCUAACUAGGGCCUCGCCCCUGUCUUGCUACUAACGAAUCAUGGAACCCCAUCCAUGCUCCUGCUGAUAGUGAGAUACGGGCCCCUGCCCACACUCACCCUUCUCCUAUCUCGGGCCUCGCCCCUGUUCUACUACUAAUGAGAUACGGAACCCCGUCCAUACUCUGCUAGUGGUGAGACACGAGACCUCGCCCACCCUCACCUCCCUACUAGGCACUUACGAGUAUCACACAUACACAAGUAUAAAAUGUCAUACAAACAUUCCUCGGGCACUCGCCCGACAUCGGACAUUGAUCUGGAAUCACAUACUAGCAUAUAGUGCCUAGGGCUAACCCACGGGUCUUCCUACUCAUAAACUAUGUGGGUCGGCAUUGUGGCCUUAGACCCAUUCACAUAUUGAGGAGACUCACCUCCCGCUGUUGAACCCUGCUGAUACUCCUCUGGCUACUGACUCGCAAAUUCCCGAACUGCUGACCCUUCGGCUUACCCAACUACCAAUACCAAACACUGCUUAGUCCAAUACCUUAAUCCUUCUUAGGGUAAAAAUGACCAUUCUACCCGUAGUCCAACUUGGUCGAUAUCUAAGGACCAAACUAAGGCCCAAUACUAGGUAAGCUUCCUAAGACCACUAGUGUCCCACUAAUGGCCCAAUUUGCUAAAUCGGGCCCAAUCCCUCUAAUGAGCCUUACCUUAUGCCCAAAUAUCAUUUUGGCCCACAUCAUCUGACUUCUCCUGACCCACUAAGGCCCAAAGUCCAAAGCAUAUCCCAAUUCGAGGCCCAAUAACACGAAGCCCAAACUGAUAGAGUAUGCGGGGCGUACCCCACGUAUGCUAAGCGUACUAGGUAAGUGGUAAGUACUUUGGGCGUAUCUGCACGUACGCUCAGUGUAACCCCCUGUUAAGUCCUUCAUUCUAACUCCGUUUCUGAAAAACUUUAUAUCGACGAAACGGUGGCGAGAAGCCCUUCGCUUCUAACGACACAACUCGGCCCAAAAUUUCUCAAAUAAAAACUUUAAGACCCAUGAAAGACCGAAAUGCCCCUAGCCUCGGGCUCUGGAAUCCAAUAAAGGAUACUUUCAAAACAGGGUGUUACAUUAGCCCUAAAAGAUCAUGCAUAAAAGGAAAGCUCGGGAUUUUCCGUGUCUUACAGAUGAUAAAAUACUAGAUCUAGUAUAUUAUACCUUGGUUUAGGGUGUUAUGGCUUGUGGACCAAGAUUUAUGUCUUAAAGAAGUUAGGGUUUGGGUUAAACCCAUUAAGAAGGACUAAGGAUGGGUAAAGUUUGAAACUUUACCCUUAAGAGUGUAUACCCAAUAUGUAGACGAAGUUUGGAGCAUAGAUCUGAAAGGUAGGAGCUUAAUCCAUUGGGAUGGCUCAAUCAGACAGGGGAACUCGGUGAGUCCAGGGAAGGACUCGACAAGUUGAAGCGGGUUGUCCCGAUUAUUAUGAUAGAAAGAACUCGACGAGUCUAUAAAGGGACUUGACGAGUUGAAUCAAUCAGCCAUGGGUUUAAUCAUUACAGGGAUUCGUCGAGUUGGUAGAUAACUCGAUGACUUGGGUUGACUGGGAGUUGACCUUGACUUUGACUUUGACCAGGACGUUGACUUUGACCAGGGGUAAAAUGCUCAUUUACCCUAAGGAGGAUUAUCAUAUUUUGAUUAAGUGUUAUUAUGGAAUUGAUAGCCGGAGAGUCGCUAGAGCAGCAGAUAGGGAUUCCUCACUCGAGUUUUUAGCAGUUAUUAUGGAAUUGAUAGCCUAUUAUAUGUGUAUCAGCUUUAUAAGAAAUGCAUGCUAGUACAGAUCAGUCGGUAUGAUACUGUAACAUCCCGAGAUAUUACAGGUAUUUUCAAACCCUCUUCUAUCACUACUUUUUCAAUUAUAGCCCUUGGGAUUCAGAAUGUAGGUCCACGACAAGUUUAGGGGCCAAGUUUGCAAUUUGGGCCAAAAGGGAGGGUACGUUGCGCGUACAUAGGAGUAUGCUAAGCGUAUAAGGGUCCGCCUUAGUAUGCUUGGCGUACACUUGUGUACGCUGGACGUACUAGCGUCAGGAAUGAAAACCCUAAUAUUUAGGGUUUGGGGCCUAUAAAAGCAACAUAAUGUGCACCCACACCCCUUUAAGCUCAGCCUCCACAGAUCAAACUCGUCUCUCUAAAACCCUAGCCUCCCUUUGUGUGUUUAGCUCAUUUGGUGUGUUCUUGAGUGUUUAAGAGGAAACCAUUGCAUCAAAGAGUUGAAGGAAGUGACCAAGCUUGUAGAUCUGAAGUUAUUUCGUGCACAAGAAGUUGCAGAAGGUAUAAAGUUUCAAACUUUGUGCUUAUAUGUUUAGAUCUCCCUAUUUUGCUUAAGAGACCCAUUUCUUGUCCCAAAAACCACAAGGUAGUGCAUGUUGUGUUUUGGACGUAAAAGACUGUCCUUUUGGACUCUUGAAGGGACCUUGAGUGAUAAAAAUGAUGUCCUAUUAGCUGAUUGUGUCCCAUGCAUGGAAGGAUAAGGUGUUAAUGUAUUAAGACCAAGCAUUUAGAACUUUAUGGACGUCCAAAAUGAUAAAGUUCAUGACUUUAUGGAUCCUAGACAUGUUAGGCUUCUGGAUCUGAAGUUUAGGCAUAAGUACUUAAGCCAUUAAGCACUUAAUGAGGAUUUGGCAAAAUGUCCAGUACGCCGAGCGUAAAUCCAGUACGCCCAACGUAUUAGGUCAACCACCCCAAUGGUGGUCAGCGGUUUGGAUGAGUACGUCGGACGUACCCAGUGGAGUAUGCCCCACGUACGUCAUCUGAUGGGCCAUUGGUAAAUGGGUUUCGGGUUUUGGGCUGUUUAUGGACUAAAUGGAAUUAGGCCUUUGUUGGAAUUUGUAAAUAAGAUGUUUUGGAAUAAUUUGUAGUAGUGGAUCAUGGGGGGUUAGGCCUAAUAAGGAGGUUUGGCCCAAUUUAGUAAAUUGGCCCAAUAAUGGACUUGUGUAUAUGGAAUUUCAAUUUAAGGAAUUAGUGUAGGGCUUUGGCCCAAUAAAAAGAGGACGGACUUAAUGAGUUAUGAGGACACUUACUCAAGGGGAUAAUAUUAGGUAUUAACCUAGUAUUUAUUAUUAUGUGAUAGUUAGGGAUUCCCGGUGAGACAGCAGUCAGAGAUUUACAGUAUUUCAACACCAAUUACGAGGUUAGUUACCUCACUUUACUAAGGGGUCUAAGGCAGCAAGGCCGACCCAUUGGAUAUGUUAUCCUAGCAGUGUUAGUAAGUUGAGUAUGAAGUUAGUGUUGCAUACUACUGGUUAUGCCAGUUAGGUAGAUCUAUAGGACUACCUGUGUUAUUAUAUGAUUAUUUGCAUCCUCAGUGUUUGUGUUAUAUGUUGAUAUGUUAUGUGGGAUGGGUUGAGGUGAUACUGCUCCGUGCGGUAACCAAAAAACCCGAGAGCAUUCCAGAUACGGGCUAAGGUAGACUCGUAAUGUGGGCUCGGUGGCAAGCCAAAUGUGAGUUGUGGACCCGGAAGGCAAUCCAGACUCACACUGUGGGCCUAGGGGUAAUCAAGUCUGUAAAGCUGUAGACCCAUUGCAUGAUGUUUAACUUGUUAUGUUAUGAUGUUGUUGACAUGGUUAUGUGGAUUGUAUGUGUAUCGGUAUUUUAGAGGAACUCACUAAGCCUCGGGCUUACAGUUUCGGUUUAUUAUUUCAGAUACAUCAUGGGAUCAUGGUAAGGCGAAGGCAUGAUCAUACAGCUCCUCAUGUUUUGUUUAUGUUUCGGGGAAAACUCUGAUAUUUUACAUUUUGGAAAUGAAGUUGUAAUGAUUCAAAUGGUUUGAAAUGUCUUUUAAAAAAAUUCAAAUUUGGCUUGAAAUUUUGUGUGUUACAUAUAGCCAAAGUAGUAUACGCUUGAUUAUGUGUACUGAAUGCCCGAACGCAGCUUGCUUUGUGCUUUUAGGAGUUAUAGUUGUCUUUUGUUAACUAGUAAACAAAUAUUUUAAGUUUCAUAUUUUGAGGACUAAAUAAUUUCAGAAGGUUAGGUCUGGCUCUAUUUCGUAGCUCUUGUUUGAACCCAACCGUUGUAGGGUAGGGUCUCUCAUUCGAAGAAUUAUCUAUUCCGAGUGAUAUGUAAUAGUAUUCGUGAGCUAGUUAGGGGAAGAUGAUAGGGACUUCUUAUGCAGCUAAUGGCGGAGAGUGGCUUGGUGAUUACCCUAAGGCAAGCCUAGGACGAGAUUAGCGCGUGAAACAGUAGCAGUAGAAGGGACUUCGUGAAGUUGAGGCAGUACUUUAGGAAAGUACGGAUAAAUGUGGAACGUAGUAUGGGCACAUACUACUGAAAGCAGAGGAUCCGUAGUCAAAUCAAGGAAGGCUGAGAUAAAUCCAGAAACUUGUAGUAUGUAUGAUCCCUUGAGAUAUGAUUAGCAUACUGAUGUUUGUUAUGAUGUGUUUCGGUAUGGUGGUUUUAUGCCCUAGACUAGCAGUUGGCAGUUCAGGUGCCGGUGAGGGAUCAGGCUCAGGCUCUGGAGCUAAGCAGCUAGACGAGCAGACUAGGGAGUUCAUCUUCUCAGAGAUCACACGCAACAUACUAGACCAUACUCCUGUAAUCUUCGGCAUGAUCAAGGAAGGCAUACUGGAGCUUUUGGAUAAGAGGUUGAGUGCUUUGCGCACUGGGGUGGCAGCCAUGAUGGGGUCGCACACAUUGACUUUCAGGGAGUUCAGGGCUUGUGUAGCUCCCGACUACCAUGGGGCUCGAGACCCAUUGCAAGUACCAGAUGGUUGGCAGAUGUCGCCAAUGCAUUCCGCACUAGCAGAUGUCUCAAGGGGGACAAGGUCCAACUUGCGUCCUAGCUUCUGAAGGACAGGGCACGUGAUCGGUGGGAGGAGGUCAGACGAGCGAUUAGGGAUGAUACAGUUUUGGAUGCGAUGACCUGGGAUGACUUCACGACUAGGUUCAGGGCUGAGUUCACACCUGUUAUUGAGGUGCAACAGCUUGCUAGGGAGUUCCAGGAUCUCUAGAACACGACAGAGACAGUGAUAGAGAUUACCGCCAAGUUUAGAGAGAGGGCCGUUCUCGUUCCGCAAUAUGUGGCGGACAAGGAGAUAAAAAGGCAUGAUACCAGGAGAUGCUGAGGAGUGGCAUCAGACAGUUUGAGAGUCGGUCCAACUACAAGACGCUGGAAGAUAUGAUAGCGAGGGCUAGUGAGAGAUAGAUUGAUUUAGAGAUGGAGAGGAAGAGGAAGCCAGAGUCAAUGUCUGGUACAGAGGGCUCAGGCAAGAAGCCCAAGGUAGAUUCCCGUGGGAAGGGCCAACAGGGCCAAGGCCGCUGUGGCAAGUGUGGCAGGGGGCAUGAGGGGCCGUGUAGGGCGGACAGUUCACGCUGCUUCAAGUGCAGUCGAAAUGGACAUAUCAGCAGGGAUUGUACUGCUACUACCACCACCACUACAACGUCUGAUCUGAUUUGCUUUCAGUGCAAUCACAUGGGAAACAAGAAGUCCCAGUGUCCGAGUCUAGCAAUAGUAGGAUUGGUGGUGGCACCCGCUCCUACCACUUUGAGGAUUAAAGACGGCUGUUAGGUCUGGGCUGAGGCACCAAUGGCGAAGAGUAGAGCCUUCUAGUUGACAGUAGAGGAGGCACGUGCAUCCGCUGAUGUGGUUAUGGGUAUGUAUCUUCUCCAUUAUAUCUCUAUCAUUUCUGAUUAUUACUCAUGUUUGUAUGUUUGUCUAUUGGCUCGUUCUUAGUGAAUGACAUAUCAGCUAUGGUACUAUUUGAUUUUGGGGCUACUCGAUCUUUUGUGCCGCUCGCACUUAGCAAGUGAUUUAGUAGAGCUCCGGGCGAGCUGGAUUUCCCACUUGAUGUAGAGAUAGAAGAUGAUAGGACUGUCAAGGUUGCGAGGGUCUAUAGAGGAUGUACGCUACAGUUAUUCGAUCAGCAGUUUUCAGUGGAUCUGGUUCCUAUUCCCCUGUGUGGCGAUAAGGUUAUAGUGGGUAUGGAUUGGUUAAGCCCCAAUGUGGCAGUGGUUGACUACGAGUAGCAGUUAGUGAGGGUUCAUACUCCUAGUAGGCGAGAGCUAGUGAUUCAGGGCGAGAGGUCACAGCACGUACCGAUUCUCUAUUCAACAACGAGGGCGAGGUGCCACCUUUAGCAGUGUUAUGCAUGAUAUGUCACCUAUGUCAUGGAUUGCCCAGGAGAAGGGUAAGGCGACAGUUGAUGAUGUACCGGUAGUGCGAGAGUACCCGGACGUAUUCUCGAAGAAUUUACCUGGGCUACCUCCGGAAAGGUAGGUCGUUUUUAGGAUACACCUGGACCCUAGUGCAGCUCUGAUACACAAGGCACCAUAUUGGUUGGCUUCUCCCGAGAUGCAGGAGUUGUCUACGCAGCUACAAGAGCUGCUAGACAAGGGUUUUAUCAGGCUGAUCAGUUCGACAUGGGGAGCCUCGAUCCUGUUUAUGAAGAAGAAGGACGGGUCACAUCGCAUGUGCAUAGACUACCAGGAGCAGAACAACGUAACGAUCCUGUUUGUGAAGAAGAAGCAUGGGUCACAUCGUAUGUGCAUAGACUACCGAGAGCAAAACAAGGUAACAGUGAAGAACCGUUACCCACUUCCAAGGAUAGAUGAUUUGUUUGACCAGCUUCAGGGAGCAUAUUGGUUCUCCAUGAUUGAUCUACGGUCAGGGUAUCACCAGAUGCGAUUCAAGGACGAUGAUGUGCAGAAUAUGUGACAUCCCCAAUUUCUCGACCAGAAAAGACCUAUUUAUUUAUGCUUGUUUUUAAAAUCAGAGUAAUCUUUUAAAGAAAACAGUUGCAGAAUUUGUUCCCAAAAUAUGAUAAAGAUUUAUCAAAGCAUUUCUUUAAAGAAAUGUAUUUUCAUUAUAUAACAAAAUCUCGGGAUGUCAUGUUCCGAUACAGACACAUAAGCAUAAACAAAACUUACAUUAUUUACACUAAAGAUUUUACAUCUCCUUUAAUCUCUCCAUGAAAUAUAUCUUUGUAUCGAUACAUGUGAUACAAAGGAAACUGAGUGGGUCAGGCUUGGGAGCCUGGUGAGCAUAUAGACUUUUCAUCCCACAAUGUUAUAUCAUAUAUUUAUAAAUAUAGAACAUUCAAACUUGUACAAUUUCACCAUAUAAAGGCAACUCUUAUCCCACCCCAUCGAUCCUCACAACGACACGAUCUAAAGUCUCGUAUCUAAAAUUUUCCUCUUUACCCGAUCCCUACUCACGGAUCUAAAACUAUCCUCUUCACCCGAUCCAUACUCACUGUUGAGUUGAAUAACUCUUUGAUCGUUUACAUCCUAAACAGGUUAAUCACAAAAACGUAAACAGAAAUAUUAAACACAAGAGUGAAUCAAAAUACGUCGAAUGAUUCAAUAGAUUCAAGCCUCAGCAGAGCUCGACAAAGAACUUCCGCUGUAGGGGCUACUAGGGUUACAAACGAUAAAAAGAAAUAUCUAUGAAUGAUCGACUCCAAAAAUCUUACGUACUAAGAUGCAUGCAAGCAUCUAUAAAUACUAAACCCUAGAAAAUAACUCACGGAUGGACAGGCCCAAUCCGGAAACAAAAUUAGACUAAUAAACGAGCCCAAGACGCAACACAUAACGGACCCUACCAUCUCCCCCUUUGCGUCAAAUGGAGCGAGAUCUUACUUCGGCUUGCUUGGUCCAGCUGCAGGAACUUUCUUUGUGGUUUCGAACAGACGAGGAAUGAGGGCAAGGAUGGUUUGUCUGAAGCAAAUGUACCAUUGGAUCAUAUCAUCGAAGUAUUUCUUGUCAUUACCAGAGUUCUGCUUGCAUCGAUUGAUGAUCCCCAGAACAUGUUCCAAGCACGCAGUGGUGUAUAGAUGCUUGUCUGCCAAGGCGAACAGGAAUUUUUGGCCUUCGUUCCUUGUGAACAUGACUGAGUUCCGCUUUGGGUCAAUCCUUCCCAUCUGCAUUUUAUUCAGAUCGCUUGCAGAGCCAACAGGAGAGAUGGUGGGCUUUUUCUUGAAAAUACUUGCGAUCUCCUGAUCCAUCUUGGCGACCUCCAUGAUGUAGCAAACUAACAUCCUUUUGAAGUGAUCUAUGAUUGGCCCAUAUUCAGCUUCGUUGGUAAGAAGGAUGUUGUGCAAGAUGAUCCAAUCAUGUGGAUUCAGGUUGGGAAGAUCAGCAAGUGAAAUAGCAUGUUCUGUUUUAGCAGACCCCCUCGACACUUUGAAUCGAACGUUUGUGAAGUUCCCCUCCUGAAAAGGUUUAAGGACCCGAACGUUUAUGAUCUUCUGAGCACUCCAUGUCUGGUACUAAGGCUGAGCAGACCUCAGAUAGAAUUCAACGAGCUCCCCAUCAACCUUUGGGUGAGGAUGAGGGACAUCAGCAGCAUGGGAGAAAGCAUGAAAUAUGAAGGCCUUUCGGGUCAAAGGCAUAUCAAACUGAGAGUCGACGGAAUUGAUCCUAUCCAAGGAAAUCACCGGUUCGAGCCAUAGGAUGCUGGGAGUAUCAAUAGCUUCUUUGAUGAGCUUCUCAAGAGUCCACGGAGGAAAUAGAGUUUUUCGACUCUCAAGAAGAUCAUGAGCCUCCUUCAUUUUUCUUUCGUUCGCCUUGGCCUCUCUGGCAACACGAGCACUCAUAUCUGAGUCCUUUUCCCGGCCUUGUUUCUUCAAGAGAUCAGCGAUGGUCUCUUUAUCAUCAUCACCAUCACUGUCUUCAACAAUCUUCUUCCCUUUAUCUUUAGCACCCGAACCUGAAGCUUGACCUGUUGGAGGAGGUUCGGUUGCUUUAGUUGAUGUAGAAGUAGGAGGCGGUUGAGACACAUCUUCUCCCCUUUGUUUUGGAUGGGCCACGAACUCAGGAAGCCCUACAAUUUUGCUGAGUAAGGCAAGGGCGGGAGCAAGCUUCUCAGCUAGAGUGCGCCUCACAGAAUAGUUCAGGAUGGGAUCAUGUGCUUCAAUAAUGUUGGAGAGGGCGGCGUAGACAUCCAAAACACACGUGGAAAUGACCGCUCGCUCAGAUCGGAGAGAUGCAACCUCCUUUUCUAAUUGGAAAAGUUGAAGACUCUUGACCUUUAGAGCAGUGGUUUUGCGAGCAAGAGCAUCCAUCACGGAGUUCUCUGAAGCAAGAUCUUCUUGCAGCUUUGUCAAGCGCUCCUCAACAGUCGCCUAGAAGGUUUUAUUGUCAGCUUCAAGAGACUGACGAAGACUGGCAAAGAAUUGUUGUUCUGAUGCAAAUGAAGUGGUCAGCUUGUCGACAAGAGAGUCAACCUUCGUUGCGUUGGAUUCAGCGGCUCACUGUAAAGACUGUAAAAGAUUGUUAGCAUCGACAAAUAGUUUUUCGACUUUUUCGGUCGCAGCAACACACGCCUUGGUAGAUGCGUCGAUAGCAGCAGUGGCGGAGUUUAUUGAGGCGUCAUGUGCCUUGGUGAACGAAUCAACUAGCCCCUGAAUGGCAGCCUCUGAGAUAGUGGCCGAGAGGAAGAGGAGGAAGCGAUGAGACUGUCGAUUUUCUCAUGAAAUUCCUUGAGAUGCUUUUUAGUGACAGGAGCAUCCUCGUCAUCAUCACUUUGAACCUAGUACGGACUAUAGUAGACCAAGUCAAAAGUCAUGUCUUCUCCUCCAAGAAAAUUCUCGUCAUCGGCUGAGUGAUUGGGAGAUGAAGGCGAAGGUGUAGGUUCGGUUGUGGGAGUAGGUUCGGGUGUGGAAGUAUGUUCAGUAGCAGGUGUGUGUUUGGGUGCUGAAGUAUGAGCCCCCAUAUUAGAUACGUUGGUUCGAACUCUAGUAGUGGUUGUUGUUAUAGCUUUUGAGAAAAUAGGAGGUGGUACAGGGAUAGAGGUGGGUGGUAUAUGAGUAAUGGAGGUUAUGGGGGGAAUGGAAAUAGAGAUGGAGAUUGGGGGAGGAGAGACAGGUUUAAAUGAAACAGGUACCUCAGGAGAAGGCGAACGGGGAGGAGUGUUACCUCGAAGCAACUCCUCUGAGUUUGAACUGUCAUCCUCUGAUUCACUGGAGGAAGAGGUAAGAAUUAGUUUGCGCCUGGGCUGGGUUUUCCUCUUCUUUGGUGGAGGUGAUUGAGCUGCCUUCGAAGUUUUUCGCUUCUUUGGAGAAGGACCAUUCGCUCCUUUGACAACCUUCUUGUCUUUCCCCUUGUCUUGUUUCUUGCCCCUAGGAGCAGGCUUGUCAGCGUCGUGUAUAGAUUGAAUCAUUUCUGGAGUGAGCUCUCUGGGGCCUGAAUGAAGAAUAUCCUUGUAAGUCUUGAUGAUGCGACUAUCCCUUGGAACACAUGCAUACAUUGACUCAGGGAUUGAGCCAACGAAUUGAAACUUGGAAGAAUCAGUCACAAUGAUCUUCGUUAUGUGGAAAACACCGAUUGAGGAGAGUGGAGAAUUAGCAACUACAGGGACAUGAUACUUGUCCAUUGCCCACUUUGUGACCAGUGUCCAGAAUCUGGCAUAAGAAAUCUCAGAAUGGCGAGAAGUAGAGGCAAGACUUUGGAUCAACUGCUGCCAUAACACAGAGCCAUAGUCAAGAUUAAGGCCGUGGUAUAACCCAUAGAGAAUCGACAUAAACAAACGGCUAGCCCCGUUAGAACCGGUACUUUUUCUGACAAACCCUUGAACAGAACCGUGAAGAAGCCAUUCCACUGUGGAGGAAGACAGGAUUUCUUGAACUUUGUAACUGUAGUUAGAAUCUCAGUAUAUCCCAUGUUGUAAAACAUGGAGAACAACUGUCCCACAGGAAUAGACUCAGGGUUAACCCUUGACUCAUCAGGUUCGAACCCUACUAGCAAGCAGAAUUGUUGUUUGGAGAUGGAGGUUUUAGUAUCAAGAAUGUCGAAGAAAAUGCGAUCGACAGACUUGUCAUAGUGGGCAGUUGAGAAGAUCUGCGACAAACACUCCAUUGGAACAAUUUCAACCUUGGUUAAUGCUAGAACCAGUGGAGAGUGUUUAAGACUCUCCACAAUUGGGAACAUGAAGGCGUUGUAGGCAUGUGUGGUGAGAUCAAUGAUCAGGCUUUGCUGAGGUUGGAUAGGCAGAAUGUGGGAGGUUUCGCGAAUAGAAGAAGAAUCCGCCAUUGAAGAGUGUUGUGGAGAAGAAGAUGAACAGUGGGAGAAAGUAAUCGUUUCUUGCUCUCUGAAUUUUGGGUGCAGUAAAGAGGUAAAAGACCUUAGGGUUUACCCUUUAUACCGUGUGUAGAGGAGAGAGAAGAAUCCGCCCCCAAAUUUUCUUGAAAAUCUAAGCGUUUCCUGAGUUGAUUGACACGUGACAGUUUAGCAACCCCUAUGAUUACGCAUGAGAGAGAAAAACUCUUUCAUUUUGCAUGCUUUCCCAUCAAAUACCCUUUUGAAUUCCUGAACCUACAAGCUCUCGACUGAGUCAACAGUUUAUCCUUAAAAUUAGCUGUCUACACUAAAUAAAAGUGAACACAUGUAGCAUUAACAACAACAUCCCAUGUAGAAUAUACCAUUAAAUCCCUGAGCCAAAAAAAUAGCUUGUAAAGAAGGAAACCAGAUUUUUGGAAAAUCAAAAAGAUUUUCGUGCAUAGAGUGUCAAAGAUAAAGAAAUAAAUCAACAUAUUUGAGGGAAUUUGUGAUGUAAACAAAGACACAAAACUGUGGAUCCCGGGCACGAAUCUCUUCCUUCAAAGUCAAGAGAGACCUUAAAGUGUUUGUGUGGUUUCCCGUUGAAUUACGAUCAAUCCCUAGUUAAGAAGUGUUGAGAGGCAUCUUUUAAUAAGGCUUAUUUGGGAGGCUUUCGCUUUAGUUCAGAAUUCCUGAUCUUGACAUAAGACAAAAAUCGACUGAAAAACUUGUGAGACCAAUGUGGUCUAUUGAACAAAUAGGUUUGGAUAAUGUGUUAGUGACAAGUUGGAAAUACUAGGUGUGAAAUCUCAAGAAAAUUAAAAACUGGAUUCUAAGGGAAGAAAUGUUAUGGUAUGUAACAAUUUCAUAAGAAUCACACAAAGAGAAAAUUAGAGGUUUCAUGGUACAACCACUUGGGUGGAUUCGUUAAUUCAUAAGUGAAAACUAGAGAAAAUUUAAUUGUUCACCGUCAAUGCAUAGUAGGUAUUGAAUUGUGGGUUUCACUUAGCACGUAGUGACAUGAAGCUAAGAUCACAAACACAGAGAUGGUGUAACCAUAAACCUCAGUGGUAAUUUCUGAGAGUCUCAAGGGUUACUUGUAUGAAGCGAAUAUGAUGGAGAAAAAUAUUUGAUGUGGUGUAAAGAAACCAAAGUACCUCUGCUAUAAAAAUAGUGACCAACCAGAAAACUCUUAACUCAUAUGAGAAAAGAGUAAGGUAGCUCAUGAUUAGAAUAAAUGUAGUAGCCUAAUUGGGAAGACAAGGUUUUUAUAUACCAAGUCAGUAAGGCUUUAUUCAGAAUCAGUUGAGGCUGUGGACAACAUGCAACAGCAUGCUGCUAGGGACACUUAGCUAUUAAAAAGUGUGAGAAUGAUACCUGCCCCAUCGACAAUCCAUAAACGGUGAAUACAAACAGAAGUAGAGACAAAAAGAAAAAGAAAAUAUUUUUGGAGUUUUUGAUAAUUUGGUAAAGAGAAAAACAAAAAAAAAACAAACCAAACAAAAAAAUUUGGAACCGAACCCGAAAUGGACCAAACGCUCGGUUCAUUUCGGUUCGAAAAAAAAAUUUUGGAAUUUAAAAUUUUUGGAAAACAAAUGUAGAAAAUUUUACAACCAAAGAUACCACCUUUUUGAGAUAAGCAAAAACAAGUGCAAUGGGACCGAACCCAAAAUAGACCGAGCGUUCGGUUCAUUUCGGUUCCCAUGUGAACCGAACCCGAAAUAGACCGAACGUUCAGUUCAUUUCGCUUCCAACUUUUAGUUUUGAGAAGGUGUUUUCGUACUGACUCCGAUUCCAUCAUACCUAGGCCUUGUAGGAUUUUAUUGAAACUUGCUUCAGGAAGGGCUUUGGUGAAGAUGUCGGCCAGUUGAUCAGUGGUUCGAACAAAGUGAAUUUCUACGUUUCCAUCUUCCACAUGAUCCUUAAUAAAGUGAUACCUCAGUGCUAUAUGCUUGGUCUUGGAAUGUUGCACUGGGUUAUGACAGAUCCUAAUUGCACUUUCUGAGUCGCAAUAUAGUGGGAUCUUUUUCAUAUUGAGUCCAUAAUCCCGGAGUUGGCUUUGGAUCCAAAUCACUUGAGAUGUGCAGGAGGCGGCUGCAAUGUACUCUGCUUCGGCUGUAGACAGAGAAACACAUGUUUGUUUCUUAGAUUGCCAGCUCACCAACUUCUCGUCGAGGAAUUGACAGCCUCCUGUAGUGCUUUUUAGGUCUAAACCACAUCCUCCUAGGUCUGCAUCAGAGUAGGCUUGCACAAAGAAACUUGAUUUUGAGGGAUACCAGAGACCGAGAGAGGUCGUUCGCUUCAGAUACCGGAAUAUGUUCUUUACUGCCAACAUGUGUGGUUCACAAGGGUUUGCUUGAAACCUGGCACAAUAGCACACUGAAAACAUUAGAUCAGGCCUGCUAGUUGUGAGGUACAUCAGGGAACCAAUCAUUUGGCGAUAAAGCGUUAUGUCAACUGUCGGUUUUUCCAAAGAUGGUGUGAACUUGGUACCGAACGCCAUUAGGACUUUGACCUUGGAGUCUCCCAUCAUGCCGAAUUUAGCAAGGAGAGUCUUUGUAUAUGCUUCCUGGUUGAUAAAGAUGCCUUCGGGUCCCUGUCUAAUAUUUAAACCAAGGAAAAAGUUAAUCGGACCCAUUGAGCUCAUUUCAAAUUUAGUCUCCAUCAACUUUCUGAAUUCAGCUGUUAGGCUAGGAUUCGUUGAGCCAAAGAUGAUAUCAUCGACAUAGAUUUGAACGAUCAUAAGGUGGUUACGAUGCCCUAGGUGCUUGCUUCAGACCAUAGACAACCUUAUCUAAGAUGUAGCAGUGAUCUAGAUGCUUUUCAUUCACAAAGCCAGGAGGUUGCUCCACGUACACUGUUUCUUCAAGUUCCCCAUUCAAAAAGGCGCACUUCACAUCCAUCUGGUAGACCAGCAUAGGCAAGAAAUAUUCGAACAGAUUCUAACCUUGCUACUGGAGCGAAUGUCUAUUCGUAAUCAAUUCCUUCUUGCAGGUAACAUUUCCCUCCUUGUCCAUUUUGUUCCUGAACACCCAUUUGAGACCGACAACCGAGGCAUCUUUUGGUGUUGGAAUGAGUCUCCAGACUUUAUUUCUUUCGAACUCAUUGAGUUCGUCUUGCAUUGCCUGGACCCAAUCAGAGUGAUCAAGAGCAAUAUUGACGGUCUUCGGCUCAAUUUUGGAGACGAAAGAAUUGAACAUGCAUAAUUCUACUUUAGAGAAUAAAGCAGUUUGCUUCGCCUUCAGUUGUGACUGUGUUAGAACCUUUUCUGAUGCGCCAUCCACUAUUUGAGAUACAGGAUGAUCUCUAGUCCAUUUGGUGAGAGGAGGAUAAUUUGGAUCGUAGGAUGGAUCCAACUCAGCAUUUACCAUUUCUUCCAACUCUGAUUGAACAUCAUCGUCAUAAAGCGUAUCAGAAUUCUCCCCCUCGACAGAUGACGAAUCAUUUGGAUGUGAACCAAAAAUUCUUUCUUCAACUGGGCUUUCGGGCGGAUCCAGACUUUCUGUUGUCACUGGACUUUCGGGUGCAUUUGGGCUUUCCGGUCCAGCGGGGCUUUCGGGUGCUACAGGACUUUCGGGUGCAACCGGGCUUUCGGGUGCAGUGGGGCUUUCGGGUGCUACAGGAAUUUCCGGUCCGACAAAGAUUAGAUUCUCCCCUGGAAAUGUGAGUCCAUUUGAUUUGAAUAGAAUUGAUUCUCCUCCUCGACCGAAGUACUGCUCUGGGGAGGUUCGUUUCGAACUGGUUCUCCUUCUCCCAUUUGUUUGGCUGCAUCUUCGAUAAUCUGCUUAAGGUGAUCGAUCUUGUUGUCUGCUGCCUUGGCUUCCGAAAGAGUGGCUCUCUCAGGUUCAUCAAAUAAGUCCAAGAACUGGUCAAAUAAAUUGGCGAUUGAGGCUGUGACUUGACCUGUUUGAGAGAAAAUCUCUCCAAUUGCUGCAUCAGUAGACUUUAGCAUUUUGACGUAAUUGUCAUCGAACGUCACAUAAUAGGUUUCUUCAAUUCUUUUAGAAUGCUUAUUCAAAACCCUGUAUGCCUUUGAAGUAAGAGAAUAUCCCAGAAAGAUUCCUUCAUCAGCAUUAACAUCAAACUUGUUGUGAUGUUCUUUGGAGUUGAAGAUGAAGCACCUGGAACCGAACACGUGAAAGAACUUGACAUUCGGCUUCCUGUUGUUAAUAAUCUCAUAAGGAGUGAGAGAGAAACGCUUGUUGAGAUAAAACCUAUUCUGAGUAAAACAUGCUGCAACAAUAGCGUCAGCCCAGAAAUAUAGGGGAAGAGAAGCAAAACUCAGCAUGGUUCGGGCCGCCUCGCAUAGGGAUCGGUUUCGCCUUUCGACAAUUCCAUUCUGUUGAGGUGUAUAGGGGGCUGAGAAAUUAUGACCGGUGCCUUUUUCAGUUAAGAAAUCUUCAAGUUCUUUGUUCUUGAAUUCCAGUCCAUUGUCGCUCCUGAUGUUUCGAACGACUUUCCUCAGUUGCACUUUGACUUGCUUGAUAAAGAUCUUCAGCUUAGGAGUCGCCUCAGAUUUGUUCUUUAGAAAGAAUACCCAAGUAAACCAUGAGAAGUCAUCAACAAAAACAAGGAUAUACUUGUUACCGCCAAUGCUCUCGAUUGAUGAUGAACCACAUAAGUCGAUGUGAAGCAACUCAAGCGGUUCAACAAUUUUGGUGUUUAUGAUGGUUGGGUGACUUUGACGACUUUGUUUUCCCAUUUCACAUGCAACACAUAAGUGCUCUCGAUCGAAGUUAAGCAAUGGAAGACCCCGAACAUGACCACCGGUGACAAGCUUGUUGAUGUCUUUGAAGUUGAGAUGUGAAAGCCUUCGGUGCCACAACCAACUUUCGUCUGAAUGAGCUUUGGACAAAAGACAUAUGGUUGGAUUACCUUUGAUUGGUCUGAGAUUCAGAGGGAACAUUCACCUUUUCGAUCUGAUUUGAGAAUGACUUUAUUGGAUUUCUUCUCUAUAAUUUCUGAACCUUCGUCGUCGAACGAGACUUUGAGACCGGUAUCUCCAUUGGUUAUCAUCCCAUAACCCUUUAUUGUUCCAUAAGAGUUGUUACCGAACUUGACAUUGCCACCAUUUUGAAGUGACCGAAACUCCCUAAGCUCUUCCUUCCUUCCUGUCAUGUGACGUGAGCAGCCACUGUCUAUGUACCAUUCGUCAUCAAACUGCUCGUCACUAAUAACCUGCAAAAAUUAGGCAGAUUUAGGAACCCAAAGUUUCUUGGGUCCACGUGAGCCUUUUACAGAAACAGGAAUAGUAAGAGAAACAUCAACGAGAUAUGUUCGUUUUAUUAAGGUUGUUUCAUCUUUCCUUUUAAUAGUAAACACUUUGAUUUUAUUAGAAUUAGACGCAGGUAUUUUGGAUUCAGGUUCUGGUGUUUGGACUUUAGCCUGCUUUCGGUCUUCAUUAGCUGAGAAAAUCUUCAUUUUUCCUUUCAAAUCCUUUGACGAUCUUGCAUUUGGUGUAGGACCAGACUUAGGCUUAGAAGAAGAUUGAGGAUGAGAAGAAUUAGAGGAAAAGAAAUUAGAAUGAGAAUCUUUCCUGACUUGAGGUUCGAAAUGACCCUUUCGGUUGUGGUCAUUUGAGGGACCGAACCUGGACCUUCGGUUGUUGUUUGAAGAUGAACCGAAGCUGGAUUUUCGGGUGUUGUAGGUUGGUGGCCCGAAACUGGGUCUUUUAUUGUAAAAGCUUGACAGGCUGAAAUCUGGUAUUUUCCUGUUGUUGUUUGGUGGACUGAAACCAGCUUUUCGGUUGUUGUUGCUUUCGGGACCGAACCUAUCCUUUCGGUUUUGUUCUUCCUGUGGCCCGAAAGUCUUCCUCUGGUUCUUUUGAAUCGGUUGUUCGAAGUUCCUUUUACUAUUGUUUUCUUCUCCUUUUGACUUAGAAUUGUUGUCAAAGUGAGUGUAGUGAGGAUUUUGGGAGCGCCAAAACUGCUUUCGCUCUGAGAGAUUUUUCUUGUAUCUCAGGUUUCUUUGCUGCUUUUGAUUUUUCACCUGUUUCGGUUGUAUGUGGAUAUUUGCCUUUUGUUUCAGCUUCGUAGCAACAGGUUCACUCUUCAUGGAAGAGGUUUCGCUAGUUGAGGUGACUUCUUCCACUGGAAUCUCUUUUGUGCCACUGGAACUUGGUACGUCAAAGUUGGUAGGCUUAUUCAGAGGUUCGGGCACAUAUCUACCUUUGGCCUUCCAUGAUGUUCGCUCCUACAAACCGACUAUUUCAUCUGCGUUAUCUAUCGGUGCAGACCAGAAAAACUCAUCACAGCCAUCUGCAUUAUCUUCAUUCACUAUGGCAGUGAGUUCGGCUGUCUGAUGUUUGGUUACUCCUGUGACCUUAUAUACCUGAUUGGGAGUUGUUCUAACCUUUUGAAACACAAUGGCCUUUUCUUUAAGGAUUGGGGACUUCAUUUUGGACAAACGAGCGAAUUCCACAUAAUUUUCAGAAAUUAGGUUUUUGUGGUUUUCAGGUUCGCUCCUAAUGAACUCGGAACAGUCAACUUCAUCCCUACAGAAAUUUCACUCAUGUCAUCGUCCUCAUUAAGUUCAGAUGCAUUUUCAACAUCAAUUUUAUUUUCUGAACUCAAUUUGGUACUCAGUGAGUCAAAUUUUUGUAUGGUUUCGGCCUUGAGUUUCAACUUAUCAUUUUCAUCCAAAAGAUUUUUAAGCAUGUCCUUAUGGUCUUUGUACUUUAUAAAAGAUUCAAUUUUGUCCAGACUAUAUAUAUAAGUAGGAUUGACAUCAUUAGAAGAUACAACACUUUCACAGUUGUAUGCUUCGGCAUCGAUUUCAUCCUCCUUAAACUCAAGGAAGGGUAAAAUCAUGCGAUGUAUCUUCUGUCCUAUUUCACAGUUUAAAUGCAGCUGAGUAAUGUUAGCAUAAAGCCUUUUGGCAAUUAAACAAAAAACAUUCCUCUGUUUUAAUAAUUUGAGAUUGUCUCUUUGCAAAUAAAUGUUCUCAUCCCUAGACUUAACCAGCUCCAACUCUUUCUUCUCUAUCCAAAUCCUUCGCUCCUCACUCUUGGAUGACACCCUGCUUAUUUGGUCAGUUAGAUUAGAAUUCGUGACCCGUGUUUGAGUUAAACAACUAUCUAGAUUUGAAAUUCUUGAAUUCAAGUUAUUUAAUUCCUUUUCAUAUGAUUUUUGUGGAAUUUUAAAUGAAAUAAAAAUAGAUUGUACCUUCUUGAUCAGUUCAUCUAGCUCACUGAUCUGCACACUGAGAGGUUUCGCUGUAAAGCACAAGUCCUCUCGCUCCUUAGCCUCUUCGUUUCCACCAUCAGUGUUGUAUCCCCUCAUCUGACAUACAUCUGUCACCAUCAGACAUCUUCCAUCAGCUUCACCACUCUUUGCUACAUAAGCCUUUCCAUGAGAAGGCUUUCUCACUUCAUCAUCUUCUGAGUCAGUCGACCACACCUGCAUGCCACCGAACUCAUCAUCAUCUACCGAACCCUGUACAAUAAGAGCAUUCAUAGAGGGAUUAGUAUUAGCUUUCUUCCUCUUAAUCUCCUCCAGUCUUUUUAGGAGACUUGCUUCUUCAUACUUCUCUUCAUCUUUCUCUGCCAUCUUCUUUAGCAUGCAAUCUUUUGCGUAGUGAUUUUUCCCACCAUAGUAAAAGCAACUGACACCAGAGUUAGCUUCACCCUUCGCUUCCUUCUUUGAUUCUUUAAGCUUCGGCUCCUCUUCACUUUUUNUCUUUCACUUUUUCAGAGCUGUAGCUUCCCUGCCAAUUUCGAUUUUUGUUGGUAGGGAACUUUUUCUUAAUGAACCUUCUGGGAUUUGACACCAUCAUAGCAUAGUCUUCAGCUGUCAAAUCGUGAUCUCCCAGAUUUAAAUCCUCUUCGUCUUUUGAUGCACCCUUACCUUUGGACAGAAGCGCCAAAGACCCCAAAUUUGAAACCACGCUUUUCUCUUGUAGCAUUGUCUUUUCCUGGGAUUUCAGAAUCCCCACCAGUUUCGCCAAAGAGUACGAUUUGAACUGUUCGUGUGCUUUAACCGUUGACACAACAGCUCUCCAUUCGGAUCUUAGACCAUUCAGGAAAGUGACCUUCUGUUCAAUGAGCUUCCUUUCAAUAUCAUGUUUGCUCAUCUUGCUGAGAAGGAGAUUGAAACGAUCAAAUGUUUGCGUAACAACCUCUUCUGGCUUCUGCUUGAACUCUCCAAAUUCAGAGAGAAGUAAGGUCUGAAUUGAGUGCUCCAGAUCUUCAUCUAUGGAAUAUAGCUCUCGCAGCCGAUCCCAGAUUUCCUUUGCUGUACUGCAAGAACUCACCAAUCGAAACGUGUCAGAUUGAAGAGUGAAUCGAAUUAGUCUCAAUGCCUUAAUGUUGCAUUGAAACUUCUCCUUUUCGUCCUGAGCGACGUCUUUCCAGUCUUUCAACAAAUCAUUGUACUCCUUUUGAGUUUUAAUGAUUCUAGAUGUGCCUGAAUGAGCAAAAAGGCCAGAUAUAAUAGCUUCCCAUAUCAGAUACCCAUUAUCUUCAGAUCCAAUAACGUAGUCUUCAAAGUGGUGCGUCCACUCUUCGUAGUCUUGAGUGUAGAGAAUUGGAAUCUUGGUUGUUGAUCCUAUACUGUUAGAGAUGUUAAUAGUAUUGGAUUGAGAAUCGUCCAUGCUUGAUCGUUUAACCUGUUAUAAGAUCAGACUUUGUAAUACGUAAUAUUAGGGCAAGGUGAAUAAUUAGUGAGAUACGUCAAUUAUGGAGCGACAGCUCAAUAAAUAUCAAUGAAUGUGGAAUAAACCCUAAUAACUUCUUUCACAGAAGAGAUGUGUAUGAAUUACACAGUCUCCUGCUCUAAUACCAAUUGAUGAGUUGAAUAACUCUUUGAUCGUUUAUAUCUUAAACAGGUUAAUCACAAAAACAUAAACAGAAAUAUUAAACACAAGAGUGAAUCAAAAUACGUCGAAUGAUUCAAUAGAUUCAAGCCUCAGCAGAGCUCGACAAAGAACUUCCGCUGUAGAGGCUACUAGGGUUAUAAACGAUAAAAAGAAAUAUCUAUGAAUGAUCGACUCCAAAAAUCUUACGUACUAAGAUGCAUGCAAGCAUCUAUAAAUACUAAACCCUAGAAAAUAACUCACGGAUGGACAGGCCCAAUCCGGAAACAAAAUUGGACUAAUAAACGAGCCCAAGACGCAACACAUAACGGACCCUACACUCACGGAUCUAAAACUAACCUUUUCACCGGAUCCAUACUCACGGAUCUAAAACUAACCUUUUCCCCUGAUCCAUACUCACGGAUCUAAAACUACCUGAUCCAUACUCACGAAUCUCUAACUAACCUCCUGAUCUGAUCCAUACUCCCAGAUCAAUAAUUGUACCCAAUCCAUACUCCCAGAAUAGGGACAAUUAACAAUACCUUAAUCCUGAUCUGAUCCAUACCCCCAGAUCAAUAAUUGUGCGCAAUCCAUACUCCCGGACUAGGGACAAUUAACUUAUUCUUAAUCCAUACUCCUUGACUAAUAACAAGUUUUAUCUCUUUAUCUGAUCCAUACUCCCGGAUCUAAAACUAACCUCUUGGUCUAAUCCAUACUCACGGAUCUAAAACUAGCCUCUUGAUCUGAUCCCUACUCACGGAUCUAAAACUAACCUCUUGGUCUAAUCCAUACUCACGGAUCUAAAACUAGCCUCUUGAUCUGAUCCCUACUCACGGAUCUAAAACUAACCUCUUGAUCUCAUUAUCCAACUCAUCCUUUUAUCACACACCAACUAUCUCACCUACCCAUGUUCUACCCAACAUAUUUGUAGAUAUAAAAUACAUAUACAGUUUAACAAAUUUAAAAACUAUAUAAAACAUCCAUUCCACACUCAUCUCAAAUAAACAACAAUAUAUAAACACAUAGCACGUAUUUUAUAACAAAUACUUCAUAUUUAUGUGUUAAAAGAAAGUAACCACACACUUACUUGAUCAGAAGAUGAUCGGGCAAUGCCUCGUCUCUUAAAAUAAUCUUUUGCGAUGAAACCGGGAUGUUUUCCUCCAAAACCAGGCUUCAUGCGGGCAGAGCUUCGGCUCGGGAAUCUUUCUUCUCGGGAUCUUCAGGCUUUGGGACUAGCUUCGGGUCUCGGGAAUGACAUCGGGGCUUCAGGGGGUUAAAAUAGGGCUUAGAGAGAGUAUCGGGAGUGGGAAAGUAAGAGAUGAACAACCCAAAUCGGCUGACCCUUGAAUUCUAUUUAUAGGGAAAAAAUGCUUAACUCACCUCGUGAGUGUUUAAUUCUCACCUCGUGAGCUUGCUCACCUUGUGAGUUUAUAAUAUUCACCUCGUGAGGUCAAUAUGUCAUUGCGUUCAUCAUGGCCACUUGCCCUGGAAGACGUCCAGCAUCUGCUCACCUCGUGAGCCACUUAAUGCUCACCUCGUGAGCUCUGACAGGGAUGGAAGUUCAUGCCCCAAACUUCAGAAAUUCAUAUCUUUCACAUACGAGCUCCAUUCUCGACGUUCUUUAUAUCCACAUGUAGGUAAAAACAAUAUCUACAACUUUCAUUUAGACUUUGUCGGCUAAUUUUGACUUUCAUUUUAAUAUAUUAUUAAUAUAUUAUUUUUAGUAUGCCGGGACACGAAAACUCCGUUCAAAAUUUAUAACUCCUUCAUCUGAACUCCGUUUUCGUCUGUCUUUUUAUCGUUGCACUACCAUUGAUGAGAUAUUAGAUUCUCAUUUAGAUUGUUUUGGCUAAAAACCGCUCGAUCUCAAAUUGAGUAUUCGGGCUGCAUACCGCUAAGUCGAAACUUAGAAAAAUCAUAACUUCCUCAUACGAAGUCAGAUUUGGGCGUUCUUUUUAAGCAUUCUUUCGGUUUAACGUAUUCUACGACUUUCAUUUAGAUUGGUAAGGCCAAAUAUCGCUCUAACAUAAAUUCACUAUUUACGUUGCGCUGUGUCGUGUCGGUUCUAUCGCGAAACUUCGACAUGUCAUAACUUCUUCGUUAUAACUCGGAUUUCGGCGUUCUUUAUAUGCACGGAAACCUUGUGACAUAUACUACAACUUAGUUAAGACUAAUCCUUCUAAAUAAUCUUCCACAAAAAAGUCAUUUUUGAUGUUUAUCGUCUCUAAUUGACUAGCCCUAAUCUACGAGCGUUACAGAAUACCACUUUUAGGACUCGCUAUGGCCAUUAUGAGUUUGUGGUGAUCCCGCAUGGGCUCACGAAUGCUCCAUCCACGUUCAUGGACCUCAUGAACCGUGUUUGCAGAACGAUGUUGGAUCGGUCUGUAAUAGUAUUCAUCGAUGACAUCUUGGUUUACUCCAAGACUUAGGAGCAUCAUGAGGAGAACCUGAGAGAGGUGCUGGAGAAACUGAGGAGGGAGAGAAUUUUUAAGAAGUUCUCCAUGUGUGAGUUUUGGUUGCAUGAGGUGCAGUUCCUUGGGCAUCUUGUCAACCAGAAGGGUAUUCUGGUAGAUCCGGCCAAGAUAAAGGUCGUGAUGUAGUGGGAGAUUCCGAGGUCUCCAACUGAGAUUCGGAGCUCCGUGGGUUGGGCAGAGUAUUACAGGAGAUUUAUUUAGUACUUCUCCAUGAUUGCAAUUCCGUUAACCCGACUGACAAAGAAGUCAAUGGUUUUUCGUUGGGGACUUGAGCAGAAGGCAACCUUUAAGAUGCUCAGGCAGCAAUUGUGCAAGGCAGCAAUUCUGACUCUGCUAGAGGGUGUAGAUGACUUCAUAGUCUACUAUGAUGCUUUGAUCACAGGCGUGGGAGCAGUUUUGAUGCAGCGGGGUCAUGUGAUAGCUUAUGCUUCGAGGCAGCAGAAGCCUCACCAGGCUAACUAUCCGACGCAUGAUUUAGAACUGUGCGUUGUGGUGUUCACCCUCAAGAUUUGGCGACAUUACCUCUAUGGUGUCCGUUGUACCAAUUACAUGGACCACAAGAGUUUGAGCUACCUCAUGGAUCAUCCAAAUCUAAACAUGAGGCAGCGUCAGUGGUUAGCAUCGAUGGUUAGAUGUGGUAAAGGACUACGAUUUUGAGAUCCUUUACCACUCGUGCAAGGCCAACAUAGUAGCCAACACCCUGAGCCGCAAGGCGGUAGCGUCCCCGAUCCGAGACAUCUAUCUGAGGAUGAUACUGAUUACUCCAUUGCUAGAGUAGAUCCGAGAGGCGCGGGUCGAGGGCCUGAAGGAGGAGCGCCGGAAGUACGAUCGGAUUAUAAGCCAGGUGGCCUCCUUCGAUUAUGACAACCGUGGGUUGUUGACCCUCCAUGGGAGGGUUUGGCUACCAUACUUGGGCAGACUACAACAAAUAUUGAUGGACGAGGCCCACAAGUCCAGGUUCUGUACCCACCCCGGGGCGACGAAGAUGUACAGAGAUCUUCGACCUGAUUACUGGUGGCCCUGCAUGAAACAGGAUGUAUCCUGGUAUGUAGAGAGAUGCUUGACCUGCAGGAAGGUCAAGGUAGAGCACCAGAGGCCUCACGGCAAGAUACAGCCGCUAGACAUCCUCGUGUGGAAAUGGGAGGAUAUUAAUAUGGAUUUUAUCACUAAGCUUCCCAAGACCACACACGGGGUUGAUUCGAUAUGGGUCAUCAUGGAUUAGUUGACCAAGGGUGCCCACUUUAUACCGAUCCAGGAGAGAAUCUCGGCUGAGAAGCUGGCCAAAAUUUAUAUGCGAGAAGUAGUGGCACGUCAAGGAGUGCCUGUCUCGGUGGUGUCAGACCGAGAUGUCCGUUUUAUUUCCAGAUUUUGGAAUCGGUUUCACAAAGAGAUGGGUACUCGUCUCCACUUCAGCACCGAUUUCCACCUCUAGACGGACAGACAGAGCGAGAGGACGAUUCAGAAUCCCAAGGACAUGCUUCGUGCAUGUGUUUUGGAUUUUGGUGGCAGUUAGGAUACAUAUCUUCCGUUAGCAGAAUUUUCAUAUAACAACAGUUACCACGCCAGACUUGGAGUUUAGGGAGGGCGACAUGGUACUACUAAAGGUGUCGCCCUGGAAGGGUGUCAUACGGUUCCCAAAAUGGGGCAAGUUGGGCCCAAGGUAUAUUGUCCCCUUCCGAGUCAUAGCGCAGGUGGGCAAGGUAGCGUACAGACAGUUCUGCUCGUUGAUCUCAGCCAGAUCCAGAACACUUUCCAUGUUUCUCAGCUAUGGAAAUGCUUGGUGGAUGAUUCAGCAGUGGUACCCCUUGAUGAUAUUCAGGUUGAUGACAACCUAAACUACAUUGAGAGACCAGUGGUGAUUCUAGAUCGCAAGACGAAGGAGCUGAGGAACAAGAGGGUUGAGUUAGGGAAGGUGUAGUGGCAGCACUGCAUGGGUUUAGAGUGGACAUGGGAGCUCGAGGAGGAGCUGAGGGAGCACUACCCAGAGAUAUUUUCAGACACAACAGACUUCGAGGACAAAGUCUAAGACAAGUGGGGGAAAAUUGUAAGGCCCGAUUUCCUGGUACAUAUUUGAUGUAAUUAUUUAUGCAUCUUAGAAGGGACACUCGUCGAGUUGGUCGCCUUAACUUGUCGAGUAGAAGACAGUUUAUGCACAGGUUUUAAGUGAGCUACUCGACGAGUCGGGGUCUUGACUCGGAAAGUAGGACAGGCUGGAUGAAAUCCUAAUCUUUAGGGCUUGCACCCUAUUUAAGCAUCAUAUCUGGCCGCCACCCCAGCCUCUAUCACCUCCAAACCCUAAUCUUGAAACCCUAAUCCACCUUGAGUGAUGUUGAACUAUUUCUUCCCAUUUUGAGUGUUAUUUGUGCCUUUUGAAGCUGGUGGAAGAAGAAGAACACAGAAGGCCCAAGGAGGAAGAAAGUAGAUCCAUGAACUACACUCCAUUUGCUACACUUUCUGGUAAUCAAGUCUCUAACUUGAUCCUCCUUCUCUUAGAUCUAUUUGUUUUCAUUUUAUGAAGGUUUUGGUUGAAGAACCUUAGUCCUUGGGAUUGGUACAUCCGAAGUGAUUUAUAUCUCAGAUCUGGGGUCCAGGAAGCGUUCCAUGGCAUAAAGGUGCAAACUCUGUGACAAUAAAGCUUGUGUGUAAGAACAUUGCCUUUUUAACCCUAAAAGAUCAUGCAUGAAAGGAAAGCUCGGGACUUUAUGUGUCCAACAGAUGAUAAAAUCCUAGAUAUAGUAUAUUGUGCCUUGGUUUAUGGUAUUAUGGCUUGUAGACCAAGAUUUAUGUCUUAAAGAAGUUAGGGUUUGGGUUAAACCCACUAAGAAGGACUAAGGAUGGCUGAAGUUGGAAACUUUAUCCUUAAGAGUGUAUUCCCAGUAUGUAGAUGAAGUUUGGAGCAUAGAUCUGAAAGGUAGGAGCUUAAUCCAUUUGGAUGGCUCAAUCAGACAGGGAAACUCGGCGAGUCCAGGGAAGGAAUCGACGAGUAGAAUCAGGCUGUCUCGAUUAUUAUGAAAGAAAUACCUUGACGAGUCUGUAAAUGGACUCAACGAGUUGACUCGGUCAACCACAAGUUUAAGCAUUACAGGGACUCGUCGAGUUGGGAGAUAACUCGAUGAGUUGGGUUGACUCGGAGUUGACCUUGACUUUGACUUUGACUAGGACAUUGACUUUGACCAGGGGUAUGGUCAUUUUACCCUAAGGAGGAUUAUCAGAUUUUGAUCAAGAGUUAUUAUGGAAUUGAUAGUCGGAGUGUCGCCGGAGCAGCAAACAGGGAUUCCUCUCACGAGUUUUUAGCAGUCAGUCUUGCGAGGUGAGUUUCCUUUUAUUAGGAAUGGGUCGAAGGCACCACGGUCGGCCUAUAUAUGUGAUAUGUUAGUAGUUGAGUGUGGGCGGCACCCGAAUCUCGUAGUAGUCUAGAGUGGGUGGGGCCAAAAUCUCAUAGUAUUUUUUGAGUAUAGAUAUGUGAUUGUUUAGUAGAUAUACUUGUUGUCUUUAUGAUACUUGUAUGCAUGUUAGUAGCAGAGUGUGGGCGGGGCCCGAAUCUCCUAGACAGCAGAGUGUGGGCAGGGCCCGAAUCUCCUAGACAGCAGAGUGUGGACGGGCCCCGAAUCUCCUAGACAACAGAGUGUGGGCGGGGCCCGAAUCCCCAUGAGAGUGGGUGGGGCCCGUAUCUCCUAGUUGCAUGAUAUUUGUAUGGUAUGCAGUUUUUUUAGGGAACUCACUAAGCUUCGUGCUUACAGUUUUCAGUUUUAGUUUCAGGUAAAUCCACUAGCAAGGGGAAGGGCUUAGGAUGAUAGCAUGACACACACCAUAGUUUCAGCCAUGGAUGUUUAGACUCAAAUAUUUUUCUCCUAUGAUUUUGAUACAAUACUUGACAUGAUGUUUUGAGAUACAUGAUACUUGAGGUAACGACCAUCUUUAAGGUAUUAUUUUAUUUUAUAUUUCUUAUUUUUUUUUGUUGGGCUAAAUGUAGAUAGAAGAAUUAAGGAGUGGACUUAAGCUAGUGGGCCGAGAUUUUGGACCGCCCAUAAGCUGUACACUGGGCGUAGCCUUAGCCUACGCAAUGUGUAAAGGUUCAUUGGAUUCGGGGGACACAUGCACAUAUGCGUAGUGUACCAAGGGGUAUGCCCGACGUACGUGAGCAAAUUCAAUAACCCUAAUUUUUAGGGUUUAAUUCAUAUAAAUACCCCAUUAUAUGCUCAACCCUGGCCUCCUUACCAGUCCCUCACCCUCAGAAACCCUAAUUAGCCUCCCUUUACCAUCCUUGUAUGUGUUUUGGUUUUGUGAAGCUUGUUUGGAUAUUUGAAGCUUGAAAGAAGGAAGGAGAAGAUAGUGAAGAGGAGCUUGAGUAUCUUGAGCUCAUAGAUCCAGGUCAACAUCAUCUUUUGGGACUCAAAGGAGGUACAAACCUUCCAACUUUCUUCAUAAGAGCAUACAUCUACGUUUAUGAAGCUUUGGACUUUUUUAGGUCCAAAGAUUUGAGUUUUUAGUUGCAUUUUCGUUUGAGAGCUUGGGGUUGCCACUCAUAGAGCUAAAAGAAUCCCUUGAGCAGUAAAGUUGCAAUCUUUAAGGUCCAUUUUCAACCAUGCAAGAGAUCUAGCUAUUUCCAUGAAGUUGGUUGCUAUUUUUUCAAGUUUAACCUCAUUUGGUGGGUUGCAAGCCACCAAGUGAUCGACUUUAUGGGUUAAGAAGUAUUACUGGACUUAGAUCUAUAAUUUGGAUGUAUUGUCUUAAGGGGUUAAGUGGUUUUGAAGAAAAUAGAUUAGCAGGGUAGUACGUUGGGCGUACACGCCAAUACUUGCAGCAUACAAGCCAUGCAAGCGGUACGCGCAGCGUACAAAAGAGUAAGCUCGGCUUACUCUCGCAUUUUGCGCUUUACAUUAUUGGGCCUAGGUUUGUGCUAAUCUUUAGGCUUAGCAGAUAUUGGGUCGUGAUAAGCCACCAAGAGUCAGUUAAGGGCCCAAUGACUAGUUUGGGCUUGGGGGGAAAGCCCAUUUGAAGAGUUAGGCCCAAUUUACAAAAUUGGUCCAUUUGAGGACUUUAAUGGGCCUUAGUGAGUUUGGAAUGACUAGAAAGGAUUGGUCCUAGGCCAUGGUCCAAAUUAGAUCAAAGGGGUAAAAUAGUUAUUUUACCCUGAGAAGGAUUCUCAAAUUUUGUCUAAGUAUUUAGUUUGGUCAUAAUAGUCGGGGAGUAGUUGGAGCACCUGUCAGAGUUACCUUCGCACAAGUUUUCAGCAGCCAGAUUGAGAGGCGAGUUUUCCUCCAGUAGGAAAGGGUCGAAGGCACCAAUGUCAGCCCGUUUAUGUAAGUUAGUAUAUGCCGGGCUUAGGCUCGAUGCCGGGGAUAGCCCGAUGCAGCUUGUAUGUUUCGGACUUCGGUCCGAUGCUGGGGCAAGCCCGAGGAAUGUUGUAUGCUUGAUGUCUUCGUGAUUCUUACAUGUAUUCAUUUGUAUGUUUCAGACUUCAGUGUGAUGUCGGCGCAAGCCCGAGGAAGAUUUAGCUGAUGUGUUAUGUGUUAUGUGUUUCUGGACUUCGGUCUGAUGUCGGGGCAAGCCCGAUGAAGCUUUACAUGUUAUAUGUUAUACGUCUAUGUGUUAUGUGUUGUUGUUAUGAUAUAUGUAUACCGGACUUCAUUUUGAUGCCGGGCGGGGCCCGGUACCGGACUUUGAUCCGAUGUCGGGUGGGGCCCGAUGCCGGAUUUGUCCGAUGCCGAGCGGGGCCCGAUGCAGUGGGCAAUGCCUAAUAUAUGCUAUUAUGAGUUAUUGUAUGGUAUGUGGUAAUUUGGGGGAGCUCACUAAGCUUCAUGUUUACAGUUUCAGUUGAAGUUUCAGGUACUUCAGCUAGCAAAGGGAAGGGCUCGGGAUGAUCGCAUGACACACACCACAGUCUUUCUAGCUUAGGAUAUGACUCUGAUAUUGAUAUGAGAUUUUUGAGAUAUUAACAGAUGGUAUUUUUUUUUGAGAUACAUGUUUUAUGAUUUUAUAUUAUGGUAAUGAUUUUAAUGGUUUUAAUAAUGAUUUAAAAAUGAAAUUUUUGGGUUGUAUUUUUGGGAUGUUGCAAUUUGGUAUAAGAGCCUUGAUUUGAGGGAUUCGGGCAUGAUUUCGGGUGUGUCUGAACUCAAACUAAGGAAUUGGUAUAGAAAUUUUCAAAAGAAAAACCAUUUUACAAAAAGGAUUUUGCGGAAAGAAAAGAGUUUUAGAAUAAGAAUUUUUUUUUUUGAAAAAUAGAAUAGGGUGUGAUGUAUGCAAUCAGCCGAGCUCAAGUAAGUAAUCCCAAGUUACCCAUAGAAGUUGAUGUUAUGAUAUGUUUAUCAUCUUUAUGAGAACAGCAUGCUAGAUUAGGACUAAGGAUCUAGGAAGGAUGCCUUAUGUGCCUGUUAUAUGUGUAUCAACUUUAUAAGAAAUGCAUGCUAGUACAGAUCAAUCAAUAUGAUAGCCAGAGUAGUAUAUGCUUGAUUAUGUGUACUCAGUGCCCGAAUACUGCUUGCUUUGUGCUUUUAGGAGUUCUAGUUGUCUUUUACUAACUACUAAAUGAAUAUGUUAAGUUACAUAUUGUAAGGACUAAAUAAUUUUAGAAGGUUAGGUCUAGCUCUAUUUCGCAGUUCUUGUUUGAGUCCAACCAUUGUAGGGCAGGAUCUCUCAUUCGAAGAAUUAUCUAGUCUGAGUGAUAUGUAAUAGUAUUCGUGAUCUAGUUAUGGGGAGAAAGCAGUGACUUCAUAUGCAACUGAUGGCAGAGAGUGGGAUGGUGAUUACCCUAGGGCAAGCCUAGGAUGAGAAUAGUGCAUGAAGCAUUUGUAGUAGAAGGGACUUGGUAAAGUCAAUACAGUUCUUGAGGAAAGUACGGAUAGAUGUGGAAGGUAGUAUGGGCCCAUACUACUGAAAGUAGAGGAUCCGUACUCGAAUCAAGGAAGGCUAAGAUGAAUCCAGGGAACUUGUAGUGUAUGUGAUCCCUCGAGUUAUGUUUAGUAUUCUGAUGUUUGUUAUGAUGUGUUUUUCAGAAUGGUGGUUUUACGCCCUAGACAAGCAGUCGGCAGUUCAGGUGAGGGAUCAGGAUCAGGCUCUGGAGUUGGGCAACUAGACGAACAAACUAGGGAGUUCAUCUCCUCAGAGAUUACGCACAACAUACGAGACCAGACUCCUGUGAUCUUCAUCACGAUCAAGGAGGGCAUUCUUGAGCUGUUAGAUGAGAGGUUGAGUGCUUUCCGUAUUAAGGUAGCGACCAUGAUGGGGUCGCAUACAUUGGCGUUCAGGGAGUUCAUAGCUUGUGGGGCUCCCGAAUACCAUGGGCACGGGACCCCAUCACGAGUAUUGGAUGGUUGGCAGAUGUCGCCAACGCAUUUCACACCAGCAGAUGUCCCGAGGAGGACAAGGCUAGACUUGCGUCCUAUCUCUUGAAGGGAAGGACACAUGACUGGUAGGAGGAGGCUGGACAUGCCAUUGGUGAUGAUGCAGAUCUUAACGCAAUGAUUUAGAGUGACUUUACCACCAGGUUCAGAGCCGAGUUUGCACUCGUGAUAGAGGUGCAUCAGCUGGCCAGGGAGUUCCAGGAUCUCCAGCAGAUGACUGAGAUAGUGACGGAGAUCACUACGAUGUUCAGGGAGAGGGCCCUUCUUGUUCCAUAGUAUGUGGUGGAUGAGGAGAUGAAAAGGCCCGAUACCAUGAGAUGUGGCGGAGUGAUAUCCACCAUUUUGUUAGCCGCUCCAGCUGCAGAUGCUGAAGGAAAUGAUUGCUAGGGCUCAAGAGAGGGAGUUGGAUUUAGAGAUGGAGAGGAAGAGGAAACCCGAGGGGGGUUCAGACAGGUAGCUCGAGCAAGAAGCCCAAGGUAUCACACCACAUAUCUAGGAUCCAACAGAGCCACAGCCGUUGUGGCAAAUGCUACAAGUUGUACGAGUGGAUGUGCAUGGCAGGGAGUUCAGGCUGCUUCAAGUGUGGCUCAACUAGGCCUAUGAGCAAGGAUUGUACAACUACUACCACUACCACGACAACAUCAUAUCUAAUUUGCUUUCAUUGCAAUCAUAGGGGACACAAGUGGUCCCAGUGCCUGAGUUUAGCAGCUGCAGGGCAGGUGGCAGCACCUGCCUCUGCAACAUUGAGGAUUACAGAUGCCCGUCAGGGCCAGGAUGAGGCAUCUCUCAUGAAGAGCAGAGCCUUUCAAUUGACACCCGAAGAGGCACGAGCAGCUCCCGACGUGGUCACGAGUAUGUGUCUUCUCCAUUAUCAUUUUAUUGUUUCUGAUUGUUACUUAUAUUUAUGUUUUUUUUAUAGGAUCGUUCUUAGUGAAUGGUAUAUCAGCUCUGGUAUUGUUCGAUUCGGGUGCCACCCGAUCUUUUGUAUCGCUUGCACUCAGCAAGCGAUUUGUAGGGGCUCCGGGGGAGCUGGGCUGCUCACUUUAUGUAGAGAUAGCAGAUGACAUGACCGUUAGAGUUAUUAGGGUUCACCAUGGAUGUACUUUAUAGUUAUUCGAUCAACAGUUUUUAGUAGAUUUGGUUCCUAUUCCCCGAUGAGGGAAUAAGGUUAUAGUGGGUAUUGAUUGGUUGAGCCCCAAUGGGGCAGUGAUCGAUUAUGAGCAGCAACUAGUGAAGGAUCGCAUUCCUAGCGGGGGAGGGUUUGUAAUCCAUGAUGAGAGGUCACAACGCGGACCGGUUUUUUGUUCAGCGGUGAGAGCGAGGCGCCACCUUCAGCAGGGUUGCGUAGAAUACGUCGCCUAUGUCAUGGAUACCCGGGAUAUGGGUAAGGCGGCAAUUUAUGAUGUAUCAAUAGUGCGAGAGUACCCAGAAGAAUUCCCGGAGGAUUUACCAGGGAUACCUCCAGAGAUACAGAUUGAGUUUAGGAUUGACCUCGUCCCUGGGGCGACUCCAAUACCCAAGACACCAUAUCGGUUGGCUCCUCCCGAGAUGCAGGAGUUGUCUACGCAACUGCAAUAGCUGCUAGACAAGAGAUUUAUCAGAUCGAUCAGUUCGCCAUGGGGAGCCCUGAUCCUAUUUGUGAAGAAGAAGGACGGGUCACAUCGCAUGUUCAUAGACUACCGGGAGCUGAACAAGGUAACGAUGAAGAACCGUUACCCACUUCUGAGGAUAAAUGAUUUGUUUAACCAGCUUCAGGGAGCAUCUUGGUUCUCCAAGAUUAAUCUACGGUCAGGUUAUUUUUGGGUUUGGAGCAUUCUAACACUCCUAAGUGUACAUGAAACCCUAAAUACCUUGGAUCUAUGUUUUCUCUAUUAUACAUGUAAAUAUGAACAUCCAAGGUAUUAUGCUAAUCUAGCAUACAAAACAAUGAAUAUAACAAGAUAAAAUACAUACCUCUUUGAUGUACAAUGUCUUCAUGAAGCUUGAGUGCCUAGUGCCCCAAGUGUGACACCUCAAAUGGUUCAUACAACACCAAAUGCACUUGGAAUAACUUGAGAGAAACUUGAACACUUCUAAAAUCGGCUAGCCCUUCUCUUCCUCACUUAGUGGCCGAUUUUGUCUAAGAAUAGGAUCUUAUAUAGUUGUUACAAUUAGGGUAAACCCUAAUUGUCAUGGCUUUCCAUUUCCUUGGAUCCAUGGGUUCAAAUACACCAUGGAGCAUCUUAUGGGUUUUAGCCCAACUUGACAAUCCAUGGAGCAUUAGCCCACUAUACAAGUAUGGAUGAUUUACACAAUCAACCCAUAUAUUUAAUUAGUCUUCUUUUGAUCACUUAAUUAAUUCUAGAUUAAUUCUUGAUCAAUACUAAUUAAAUAAUCUUAUUAAUAUAUAUUAUAACUUAUAAUAUAUUAACAAACCUUAAGUGUUAUUUCUCUCAUUAUAGUCUAUCCAAAUGCAUGAUGCCAUGCAACCCAAAUGGACCAUGCCGGGUCGGGUCAAGUCUUACCAAUUAUAGUUAUGGACUUAGACAUUAAUCCAACAAUCUCCCACUUGGAUAAGUCUAAAACUAUUAUUGCGUAUGACUUCAGGAACCAACUGGCAAUCGUAGCUCUCAAAAGCUUCUGUCGAACUCUGACCUUGUCGAUGAACUCUGACCUUUGUCAAUGACUUGUCCAUUAGAUAAGGGAUCAUAUAUUCCUCCAUUCUAGAUAUCAUAUGGACUGAGACAUGGAUUAUAAUCAUUCUCUCUGUCCAUUUGUUGUUUCCCGAUUUCCGAUUCAUGACGACUGACUGAUUGAACAAAUCAAAUCAGUCCUGGCUUGGCCAAGCACUCACAUGUGUCAUCAUUAAAUCAUCGAGGGGCCCACAGAUAUCGCUUUUAUCCCGAAGGUAAAAGGAAUGGAUAAACUUCGACUCAUAUGGCUUGUUCUACUACUUGUUGAAUCAUACACAAAGGCACGUUUUAUAACAUCGAGUUACCAAUGCGGUUUCGUGCAAUCAAUGUAUAACCAACUCAUAGUAACAACUCAUAUCUCUAGGUUUGAAGAAUAUAAGAUAUUAUCGUCUCAUGAUCACUCGUGAUAAAAUCCAUGAAGUGAUUCAAAUGAGCGCGGGUUGAAUCCAAUACUCAGAACUUAUGAGCACUCAUGAGCGUUGUAGCACAACUUUGUCCACCAACUUGGACCUCUACAAGCCAACCCAUGACAGUCUUGAUUCAUAUCUACUUCCAACAUAUGACCGACUGUGGAUGGUUUGAAUAACUUAGUCAUUCCGGAAGAAUAACCUAGUUAUUAUGGAAGUCAAAACAUGCAAAGUGAAACACAAGAAUAAAUGAAUCAAAUAUGGUAUCAAACCCUAUGAAUAUAAAUAGACCACUUCUAUUUAUCACCAUACUGAUUACUCAUUAUUCAUUGUUUCGGUUUUAUCAACUUUAUACUUGAAUUAAAACACUAGGUAUCCCAUGCUCCAAGCAUGUACACUAUGUUUUCCUAAACAAUAGCUUUGCCAUACACCAAGUAUGCACUCUAUGUUUAUCUAUGAUCCUUACUUUGUGAAAUAAACCAAUUGACCAAACUUUCAAUGAUUCUAAUUUCACACUGCCAAAUCGAAAUCUGUUAGAUUUUAAACUUAAAUGCAUUACCCUCUUCCAAUGAAUGUGUACAAAGUCACAAAGACUUGUCAACAACCAUUACAGGGUAUUCCAAUGAAGACCUACUCCAUGGACACAAAGCCUUAUGUUCAAAGUAUGCAUUGCUUUCAACAUGCUUCUUGCACUAAGUUCUUUCUAAUCUUACACAAAUUGCUUCUAUCUAUAGAUACAACUCUAUAUUCCCAUUUUGACUACUACUUCUAAACAAGAGUUGCCUCUUUUCAGACUAUGUCAAUAUGGCCCUUCCAAAAUUCACACUAUACUUCCAACUGUCCUUGAGCAACCAAUCUUUGGUAAACCUUAGAUUGUCCUCGACAAUUGCUUAAUCACUUUAGUCAUAUCCAAUUCUAGACAUUUUCCUCCUUAAUGCCCCAAGGCAUUUGGAAAAUUCAGAAAGAAUAAAUAUUAUAGCACAAGUAAUCGAUCUUGUACCCAAAGUAAAUGGGACACGAUUCAUGAUGUUUCACAUAAAGACAUGGUUCUAGACCAGUCUUUUGCCAUAAUAAUUUUUUGUUUGCCAUAUUCUCAAAAUUUUACUAUGAAAAGGGAUGUCGUAAUCAUAAUCGAAUUUUGAGAACGCAAUAUAUAGAAUUUUCUUAAGUUGAACCAAUCCAACAUGAAAUUCAUAUAUAUAUUCUUGACUAAAGUUGAUUAAAAUCUCAAUAUAAGCUCUUUAUAAUGAUUAUAAACUCAAUCUAAGUUUUUCAUAAUUGAAAUGAAAUAUAAUCAUUCUAAGCUUUUCAUAAUUGAAAUGAAGUAUAAUUUCCUCUCCCUUAAUUAUAGCAAAACAACUUUUUCAACCCCUGCAACCUCACGAAUUGAAACUUUUGUUUUCUAUAAUUAACAUUGCUAACUUGCAAUACUUAUCAUAAUUAUCAUGCUCCCACUAACAUGAUGAUUAUUAGCAUAACACUUAUGCUCCCACUAGCUUUGACAUGUACUCAGAAAUCAGCUAUUGACUUUUUUACCAAAGUUCAGAUUUCUGAUACUAGAUUGCUUUGAUAAGACUUUAUCAAAAUCAUACACCUUAUCUUAGAUAGUUCACAGGUGUGUCUAAACAAUUUCAAAACUGUGAAAAGGGAUUGUGUAAUCAUAGUCUUAAUUGUUUACACCAUUGCUAUUUCUCAUAAGUCCAUGUUAGUGUGCCUACUAACAACUUUGAGAAUGCAAAGAUUACUAUCUACUUACAAAUCUACUUAGUGGAAAUGUUUCCUCACCAUCAUUUUCAUGAAUCGGAGAGAAACCUUAUGACACUUAGAUUUUUAUGGUGUAUGAGUUCCUACCCAUAUGAAAUUUUCAAAACCUUAGUCACAAGACACGGAUACUGACGCAUCCAAACACAUAUGGACUGAACUUAUGCAAUUUUAACUUCUUGCCACCUGGCAGUACGGGGCCUGUCAUUGCUUCCAAGUUGUUAUCAACCAAUUGAGAACUCUAAGAACUCAUAUGUAAAGCCAACUUUAACUGGAAUGGGCACAGAAUAUGUCAACACGAUAGGUUAUAAACCUCAAGUCCUGUGCUAGUGAAGAACCUCAGGUUUUAUUCUUGAUUAGUUCUUGAGACUUUCAAGACCUUUAAGACUCCCACUGUCCUCUUGACAUAUAAUACUCUCUUGUCAAAUAUUCAAGGGAUAGUGUGGAUUCUUUAUCUUGACAAACACUUCACACAAUUGGCCUAAGUUGGUCUUUGUUUUAUCCAAAACAUCACAACUUACCAACUUCAAAUGUACAAGAAUAGGACACUUUUACUCUUACAUUUGACACGUGUUUUUAAACCUUUUUUUAAGAUAUGUCACUCAAGUUACAAUCUUGGAGUAUGACUCUAAGAAUUGUUUUGGAACGAAUUAUGAAUCAUAUUUUUGAUUUAACCACUUCAACAAUUCAUAACUCCUCUUCUUAGCUAUCAGAAAGCACUUAGAGGAUGAAUUAUGAUAAGGUCUCUUAAUCAUUAAGAUGAUCAUAUAUCAUAAAGUACUCUCCCAUCUUUUCAGAUUUGAGAAACUUUUAUCCUUCUGCCUAAUUUGAUUCUUCUCAUUCGUUCUGCUAUACAUCAAAAAUUUUCCAAUGUAUCAGAAUUACACUUAAGCCUGUAAGUAUAACCAUAUUUACUAAACUUUAGUAAAUCAUGACGAAUAGUCUUAUCGACUAUUUGUGGUGGGCUUGAUCAGUGCACAAGAAUGUGUACUCGAUCCCUUAGUCCUUUACUUGACUCACACAUCCAUGUGAACAAGUAAUUAGUCUUAAUUUUCCAAUACUUGAAAGUUCUCAUUCAUCAUGCUAUACAACUUGCAUGAUUCCAAGUUCCGGUCCAAUUGAAACUUGGGUGAUGAGAAUCUUUCCUUAUUUGGUAAAUUUAGACAUUACCACAAAUGAAAGAAUCAAUUUCAUAUUUCCACUCUUGCUAUUAAUGGAAUCAUAUAAGCAACAAUUUUUCCUCAAAUGCCAUUGUAAGGAUAUUUUAAAAUAAAUAAAAUCAUAAAUUUUCCUUUUAUUUUAAAAACUUUGCGGAAAAACUAAUCCUUACAAUGCAAAUGUAUAUGAAAACUUGUUAUUUAUUCCUAAGCAAUUUAUCAAAACUCUUAAGCACCUGCUCAAAAUUCUGAUCAUUAACCAUGCGAUCGAAAUCCAUCUUCACGAUCAGAAUCAGCAUAUACUUCCUUCUCCACUUUUUUCUUUGAUUCUUAAAACAUCACUAUAUGACCCAGUCACAUCAUGUAAUAAGAAUCUCAGAGUAGAAACUUAACAGAGUUAGACAAUGGACUUUACCUGAAAUAAAGUCAAACCCAUCAACUUUACCAUCCUUAGGUAAGUUUGGCAGCUUCGUAACCAAUUCCCCUUCCUUUGGCAAUUUAACAUAUAGGCUCUUUGAUAAUGGUACAUGGGACUAUCACAGACUUAGCAUUUCUCUUUACCAUUUGGUCAACCGAGUUGACUAUGGCCGAUCCCUNGACUUAGCUUUUCUCUUUACCAUUUGGUCAACCGAGUUGACUAUGGCCGAUCCCUUUCCAUUGGGAAGAGAAUGCUUUUCUGGAUUUCCUGUGUCACUAUUGUCAAUGUCCAUCAAGUUUUAAGGAAGUUGAUCUUAACAAAUAGAUAAGAUCAUUAAGGGUCUUGUCAUAGUCUGUUUCAUAGGUGUCCCAAAGGAACUCACUAUGUGACUUAGAAAGUGAUUGAACCACCAACUUUCUCAAGACUUUGACACCCAACUCUCCCGGCUUGUCAUUAUGUGACUUCAUCUCCAAGAUGUGAUCACACCUAGACCUUGCCUUGCCAAUAGGGCUUGAGUGACCUUGAACUUGUGGGUUAGAGAGAAUAAUUGGAGGAGGUGGACGAAGUGAAGUUCCACGAGAUUUGGGAAGAUCAUAGAUGUCUGAAUUAGACAUCUUUUGGGAGAUAUUCAAGUUUAGUUGAUUUAAAUCCUUAAUAUAACACCCAAUAUGAAAUAUUAAGGCUAGGACCCAACAAACUAUUUUAUAACUUAGAAGAGGUAUGCCGUAAUCCAAGCUAUAAAAUAUUUGAAGGUAGGUGAAUGACGAUUCACCAAUUUCCACCAAGAUAAACGAAAUGUAUUAUUAGGUUUUAAUUGGUUUUGAAACUCCUAGAUCUUUGAGAUUCAUUGAACUUUUCAAAGGCAUGUUUCAAUCUCGAGUGUGCCCUUCAGGUUUUGUGACUGGGAUGCCGAGGAUCACAAAACAAGGUGUGAAGUAACCAUGCAAAUCACUUGGUACCCUUAAUAAAUUACCCCUCAAUCGAUGUGCCGGUUAACCACACACGCUCCAUCGAUACUAUGAUAAAUAUUAAGUCACCCUUUACCUACCUUGUUAAGUCCAAGUUAGUGUGCCGGUUAACCACACACGCUCC